GGGGGACCAUCCUCCAAGGCUAAAUACUCCUGACUGACCGAUAGUGAACCAGUACCGUGAGGGAAAGGCGAAAAGAACCCCGGCGAGGGGAGUGAAAAAGAACCUGAAACCGUGUACGUACAAGCAGUGGGAGCACGCUUAGGCGUGUGACUGCGUACCUUUUGUAUAAUGGGUCAGCGACUUAUAUUCUGUAGCAAGGUUAACCGAAUAGGGGAGCCGAAGGGAAACCGAGUCUUAACUGGGCGUUAAGUUGCAGGGUAUAGACCCGAAACCCGGUGAUCUAGCCAUGGGCAGGUUGAAGGUUGGGUAACACUAACUGGAGGACCGAACCGACUAAUGUUGAAAAAUUAGCGGAUGACUUGUGGCUGGGGGUGAAAGGCCAAUCAAACCGGGAGAUAGCUGGUUCUCCCCGAAAGCUAUUUAGGUAGCGCCUCGUGAAUUCAUCUCCGGGGGUAGAGCACUGUUUCGGCAAGGGGGUCAUCCCGACUUACCAACCCGAUGCAAACUGCGAAUACCGGAGAAUGUUAUCACGGGAGACACACGGCGGGUGCUAACGUCCGUCGUGAAGAGGGAAACAACCCAGACCGCCAGCUAAGGUCCCAAAGUCAUGGUUAAGUGGGAAACGAUGUGGGAAGGCCCAGACAGCCAGGAUGUUGGCUUAGAAGCAGCCAUCAUUUAAAGAAAGCGUAAUAGCUCACUGGUCGAGUCGGCCUGCGCGGAAGAUGUAACGGGGCUAAACCAUGCAC
RNAcentral lists this ribosomal RNA (746 nucleotides) under Escherichia coli. RNAcentral describes it as "partial 23S ribosomal RNA". It matches the Rfam family "Bacterial large subunit ribosomal RNA", at positions 447 to 1194 of the family's 2925-position model. Lineage: Bacteria; Pseudomonadati; Pseudomonadota; Gammaproteobacteria; Enterobacterales; Enterobacteriaceae. The record is from RNAcentral.